UGGGGAAUAUUGGACAAUGGGGGCAACCCUGAUCCAGCAAUGCCGCGUGUGUGAAGAAGGUCUUCGGAUUGUAAAGCACUUUCGACGGGGACGAUGAUGACGGUACCCGUAGAAGAAGCCCCGGCUAACUUCGUGCCAGCAGCCGCGGUAAUACGAAGGGGGCUAGCGUUGCUCGGAAUGACUGGGCGUAAAGGGCGUGUAGGCGGUUUACACAGUCAGAUGUGAAAUCCCCGGGCUUAACCUGGGAGCUGCAUUUGAUACGUGUAGACUAGAGUGUGAGAGAGGGUUGUGGAAUUCCCAGUGUAGAGGUGAAAUUCGUAGAUAUUGGGAAGAACACGGUGGCGAAGGC
RNAcentral lists this ribosomal RNA (349 nucleotides) under uncultured bacterium. Its description in RNAcentral is "partial 16S ribosomal RNA". It matches the Rfam family "Bacterial small subunit ribosomal RNA", at positions 355 to 722 of the family's 1533-position model. The record is from RNAcentral.